GGGCAUGUAGCUCAGUGGUAGAGCGGCCGUUUCGCAUACGGAAGACUUGGUGUUCGAUCCACUGCUCGUCCA
RNAcentral lists this transfer RNA (72 nucleotides) under Trypanosoma vivax. Its description in RNAcentral is "tRNA-Ala". It matches the Rfam family "tRNA". Rfam says of the family: Transfer RNA (tRNA) molecules are approximately 80 nucleotides in length. Their secondary structure includes four short double-helical elements and three loops (D, anti-codon, and T loops). The record is from RNAcentral. Lineage: Eukaryota; Euglenozoa; Kinetoplastea; Trypanosomatida; Trypanosomatidae. RNAcentral also lists the same sequence under 1 other name.